CAGUGGCUUUUAAUUGCUCUAUGUCAGUUAUGAGGCUAUGAGACACUUCUUUAUACCACCCUUCCUCUAUCACAGUGAUGGAAAGAAUUACUCCAAUUGGGCAUAUGGACUAAAAAGCAUCUGUAUCUUGUCAGGCUAGUUAAGAUAAAAGACAUUGAAAACUUCUUUCUGAGAAUAAAUCUGCAGGUUCCACAAGGCCAGGACCAGGGCUUGUCUUUAGCCAUCAGUGAGUUCUAGCAACUAGCAGAGCACCUGGUACAGGGUAGACACUCAAGCACUAUAUCUCAGUUGAAUAAAUGAAUGAAUGAAAAAGUAUAAAUAAUCAUUGAUGGUGGUCAUUCACUAUGCAAAUUUCCUUAAGGAAAAUGACAUAUGAAGAAAAAGCUAGAGAUUAUUGCUGAGUUUUGCUAGAAAUAUAGUGGUCUUUAAAAUGGAAGAAAAUAAGAUUUCUCUGCAUGUGAUCCUUGGUAUAAUUACAGGAGAUUUUAAUUUUCUCCUUUAUCUUUGUGUUUUUAAUUUUUUUCAAGUUGAAUAUGAUUUACAUUUAUAAUCAGGAAAAAAAUUUGUUUUGUUUUUUAAAGUAGAUUACUAGGAAAUAUGGUUAGUUGGCUAGAGUUGGAUGACUCUCCUUGGGGAUGGAUUUAGCUGUCAGAGGGAGGCAUUAAGCUCAUAGUUGAUUAUUGAUUCUUGGUUUUCUUACGGGAAAGUGAGACAUGGAAAUAGCCAGGAGGUAAGAUUUAGUGUUAUGGUCAGAAGCAAUGACUGGAAUCAGACCUUGAGCCUGUUUCUUCCUAGCUGUUUGAACUAUUAAACUAGUCACCUAGCUUCUCUCAGCUAUGAUAUUCCCUUCUAUAAGACAGGAUAAACAUCCCUUACAGGAGUACUCAGAGGUUAAAUGAGAUACAUGUUGUAAAGCAUUUAGCCCUGUGCCUGGCACAUUAUAAUUGCUCAAUAGAUGUCAGCUGUUAUUACUUUUAUUAUGAACAAACUGAACAUUCUUGGCCUUGAUGCUGACAUUUCCUGCUGAUAUGCAAACUGGUUUUUCAGUGCACAUAAAUGGAGGGCACUGGGAAUUCCUUCUACUGUCCCAGAUGAACCUGGGAACACAGUAAGAAAGAUCCUGGUAUCUGGCCAAUUGCCUUUGGAUUUCACGAACAAGGCUAGAAGUAGAUUCUAAUUUUCACUAUUUUAGUUGCUUUAGAAAAUUAAAUUUUACUUGUCCUGGAAGUGGACUAGAGGGAAAGGACAGCUAAGAAUUUUUAAAAACUCAUGUAUUGUUAAAGAGAGUGAGAACUCACUAUUUCAAGGUGAAGCAUGGCUAACUUUAUGAUGGAAAAUUUAAGAUUGUACCUGGCUAAAAUGAGUAGUAACUUUUUGUUUUAUAGACGACUGCUGCAUGGCUGCCCAGGGCUACCAAUUAGAGUGCCACCUCACCUAACCUUUCACUCUGUCCCUUUUCUUUCUCAUCAGAACUUAACUGUCCAAUGUUUCAUCCCCCCCCCCCAGGGCCUUGCUUCAAGCUGCUAUGGUAACAGCUAGCUAACCCAAGCUUCAUGUGCCCUUCCUGCCUUCUCAAGCAAGGGAGACUUCUGGAAACAUCUCUUCCUGGAAGUGAGAUGACACUAAUGGGGGAAAUCUCAAACUAAAAGUUAAGACUGAUAUUUUGAAACAGGUAGCCUGUGGUACCUCUCAAAUUACAACAGAGAAGCAGUCUUCCUUCUUACCUCCAUGUAUAGCCAACCUAGUACUUUGUUAUUCUUGUUCUUUCCUUUUGCUAAACAACUAUGUCCUACCUGCUGUGAUAACACUAACAGGCAGUCUGUGGUCUAUCCUAUGGAGAAGUACUGAGUGUUGUGACUGCACAGGUGAUAUUCAAAUCCAAUUAGCCAGUGCCUUUGCCUGGACUCUUACUAAUGCAGGAAGAAAUGACAUUGGAGUUAAAACAAAACAAAACAAAACAACCUCUGGCAAUUUCUCAUCUUGUGGCUGAUUGGCUUCUUUGACACCCAAGGGAGGUAUUGUCAAAUCAGCAAUCCCCCAGAGAUGUGCUGUCUUGGAGAUGCUAAAUUGCAAAGGGAAAACAGCUCAGUGUUAAGGAGGAAGAGUGCUCUGGAUAUGGAAUGAUUAUAAGGCGAAGUAACCUUCAAAAAAAAAUGCUGCAGCAUCUUAGUAAACAUAUAUACUAGUAUUUGCAUUCUAAGAUAUCUCGUCUCAGGUGCUUAGACUUGCAAUCUCAGUCUCUUUCUCCCCAAAUGUAUUUCCUAGCAUGUCAAUGCACCAAAAGAGGGUAAAUGACUAACAACAGUUUAACACUGCCCAUCGCCAGAGGUAUUUGCAUUGUGACAUGAAAUAGAAAGGCAGUUCAAAAUACUGUAGGAUUUAAGUGCAGCAGCAUGAAGGGAUGGAAGGAAUUGAAAAUGCAGAUGAUUCUAUAGUCCAAUCACCUAGAAUGAAUCCUAUCUGCACUUUUGCCUUUGGGCAAGAUACUUAACCUCUUUAAGCUUUCAUUUUCUUACCUAUAUUAGGGAAUCAUAAUUAUUCCUAUCUCAUAGAGGAUGUUCAAAUGAUUAAAUUAUAUUAUCCAUGUAAAGUGUUUAAGGGGCAGGUAACUGCCUAAUAAAGGAUGAUUCUUGCUAUAAAUAAAGCUUUAUGGGAAGGAAAUUAAGAUCAGUUGUGGAAUUUGGAACAUCCUUUAUUUAUUUAUUCAACAAAUGCUUAUUGAGCACCUGUCAAGUACUUCCAUAUCCUGUUCUAAAAGCUGGGCUGGGAGAACAGCUAUGAACAAGAUGGACAAACUCUCUGUCAUUACUGUCUACAGAUUAAUGGGGGAAGGCAGGGAACAAACAAACGCGUGUACAAUAUAAUUUCAGGUACUAAUAAGUGCUAUGAGAAAAACCAGCAAGGUAAGGUGAUAAAGAAUGAUAUAGAGGAGGACCAUUUUAGAUAGGACGGUCAGGUAAGAUAUCUCUGAGGUGGGGGGACACAUGCACAGAGCUUUAAGUGAAUUAAAGGAAUAAGUCAGCUAAGGCACUGUUGGAAAGAAUCAGCAAAUCAGUCGUGUUCGGUGGAAUAUUUGUUUUCCUGGGAAUAUCCUGUUACCUCUAAAAUUAUAUCAUAGAAAUAAUUAACUUGGCUAAGGAUAAGAUUGAUCUUAACUGGAGAUUAGGGCCCGAUGAAAGAAGAUAACCAGAAUUUACUGAGUUAUUAUGUGCCAAGGGUUGUACUCACUGCUCUAACCAAGUUCAUUUUGUCCUCUAACCACCUAAUCACUCUGUCAUUUUUCAUAGCAGCCUAUGAUGUGAUUAUUACUCUCCCAGUGUGAAAAUUGAGCCUUGAGAAUUGUCAGCAACUUGCCCCCAAAUAGUAAGAGGCUGAAAUGGAAUUUCAACAGAGUACAACGAUCCCUGGUAAGUUCUCCUCCAGAUAGUAGUACCACGACCCAGCAGGACUAUGCCCUGGAAAGCAGCAGCAACCUUCCAUCCCCAUAAGGCCUUUAAAAGCCAUUAGCCCUCAUAUGGUCAUUAAGAAUGUAUCCAAAAGCCUCAAGCUGAAAAUCUUCACUCAGCACAGCAUCAAUUUCAGUAACCUGGCCUUCAGCCAUGUUUAAAAAGAGUACAUAUCCUACUUGAAAGCAGAGAACUGCCCAUUUCUAGAUUUGCCCAGGGGGGAGCUGGAAUAUAGGCAUUCUGUUGCUACAAGAUGACAUUCUACUGCCACCUUCCAGUGCCAAUAUUUGUGGUUUGAAAGAAUUUCACAGAAGACCAGCUAUUCUGCUCUGUGGGGAGUUUUCAGAGAAGUUAGUGAUUUUUUGAAUAUGCAGUUAAGUGGUAGAUUGCCAAGAUACAAGUUUUGGUCAUUUGUAGGAGGCAUAAUUAUACAGAAUAUCACCUUUUUUUUUGUUGUAUAAAUGAACGUACCACAAAGUAAUUGUAAAAAAGAAGGUUGACCCUUGAGAAACUUUUCACAUAUUUAAGAUGCUGCCUUGGCUUAAAAUAUUCUACCUACCAUUUAUUUAUUUAUUAUUCUUUUUCUUUUUCUUUUUUGGCCACUGCAUGGCAUAUGGAAGUUCCUAGGCCAGAGAUCAGAUCGUGACCUAAGCCACAGCUAUGGCAACACUAGAUCCUUAACCCUCUGUGCUGGGCUGGAGAUGGAACCUGUGUCC
This 4162-nucleotide long non-coding RNA is filed under the name Sus scrofa (pig). RNAcentral's name for it is "lncRNA (ENSSSCG00060010258.1)". Lineage: Eukaryota; Metazoa; Chordata; Mammalia; Artiodactyla; Suidae. The record is from RNAcentral.